GGGGAUGUAGCUCAGUGGUAGGGUGCUCGCCUAGUGUGCAUGUGUGUGAGACCCUGAGUUGGAUUCCCAGCAUCCUCC
Molecule: transfer RNA, 78 nt
Filed under: Marmota marmota marmota (Alpine marmot)
Lineage: Eukaryota; Metazoa; Chordata; Mammalia; Rodentia; Sciuridae
Also listed under: 1 other name
Rfam family: tRNA
About the family: Transfer RNA (tRNA) molecules are approximately 80 nucleotides in length. Their secondary structure includes four short double-helical elements and three loops (D, anti-codon, and T loops).
Source: Rfam by way of RNAcentral